AAAUGUAGUAAAUAGCUGAGCUGCUGAGGUUUUUCAAAAAUAGAAUCUGGAGUUUGUGAUGUAACACUGCUCUGUGAAGAUAAUUAAUUACUGCUGUGUACUAUGUGUAUCGUUAGCAAUACUGAUAAGUAAUUAUGGGGGGGGGGGGUAAUCUGCUGUCAUAGUAACAGCACAGACUCAUCACACUGGACCAGAGUUUCUCCAGUUGUGCUCAGAUCACCACCGGAGGCUCCACCCACAUUUGAUCCCACAGUAUGUGGCGUUUGACCCGAAUCUCCGUCAUUACUCAGAUUACGGAGUAAUCUGAGUAAUGACGGAGUAAUGACGGAGAUUACUCACUGGAUUAGAGUGAAUCCAAACACUCUAAUCCAGAGUGUUUGGAUUCAGUUAAGACAUGUUUAACGUGUCAGACACCACAGAUGCUAACAAAGAACGUUUCUCCAAAAAAACCCAACUGAAGUCACGCCUCAGUUGGCAGCUGCAAGUCAACUGCAGGUCAGUUAAGAGUUCAGUCACAAGUCAGUCGUAGAUCUGUUCCAGGUCAAAGUUUCCUCACAGAUCAGUCAUAUGUCUGUCGCAAGUCAGUGGUAGGUUUAUCGCAGGUCAAAGUUUCCUCACAGGUCAGUCAUAUGUCUGUCGCAAGUCAGUGGUAGGUUUAUCGCAGGUCAAAGUUUCCUCACAGGUCAGUCAUAUGUCUGUCGCAGGUCAAAGUUUCCUCACAGAUCAGUCAUAUGUCUGUCGCAAGUCAGUGGUAGGUUUGUCGCAGGUCAAAGUUUCCUCACAGGUCAGUCAUAUGUCUGUCACAGGUCAAAGUUUCCUCACAGAUCAGUCAUAUGUCUGUCGCAAGUCAGUGGUAGGUUUGUCGCAGGUCAAAGUUUCCUCACAGAUCAAAAUUCCGUCACAAGUCAAGUUGUAGGUCUGUCAUAGAUCAAAGUUCCAUCACAGAUCAGUCUUAUGUCUGUCGCAAGUCAGUGGUAGGGUUAGUCACAUGUCACUCAUAGGCCAGUCACAGUUCAGUCGUAGGUUUGUCGCAGGUCAGUAGGUUGUAGAUUAAAGUUAUGCUGCAGGUCAGGUCAGAUCACAGGUCCGUCAUGCAGAGCUGGUUUCCACAACGUCUGCAAAAAAAAAAAAAAAACAGGAAGAGGAUGUGUUUGAACUUUGGACAUGAGCCAAUCAGGACACAGUAAGUA
This is a long non-coding RNA of Thalassophryne amazonica, 1190 nucleotides long. RefSeq lists it as uncharacterized. The transcript is spliced from 3 exons. Lineage: Eukaryota; Metazoa; Chordata; Actinopteri; Batrachoidiformes; Batrachoididae. The record is from RefSeq and is a predicted model, not a curated record.